Molecule: ribosomal RNA, 902 nt
Filed under: Gilliamella sp. Bif1-4
Lineage: Bacteria; Pseudomonadati; Pseudomonadota; Gammaproteobacteria; Orbales; Orbaceae
Description: bacterial SSU rRNA
Rfam family: Bacterial small subunit ribosomal RNA
Source: RNAcentral
GGCUCACCAAGGCGACGAUCUCUAGCUGGUCUGAGAGGAUGACCAGCCACACUGGAACUGAGACACGGUCCAGACUCCUACGGGAGGCAGCAGUGGGGAAUAUUGCACAAUGGGGGGAACCCUGAUGCAGCCAUGCCGCGUGUAUGAAGAAGGCCUUCGGGUUGUAAAGUACUUUCGGUGAUGAGGAAGGAGAUGUAUCUAAUAGGUACAUUAAUUGACGUUAAUUACAGAAGAAGCACCGGCUAACUCCGUGCCAGCAGCCGCGGUAAUACGGAGGGUGCGAGCGUUAAUCGGAAUGACUGGGCGUAAAGGGCAUGUAGGCGGAUAAUUAAGUUAGGUGUGAAAGCCCUGGGCUCAACCUAGGAAUUGCACUUAAAACUGGUUAACUAGAGUAUUGUAGAGGAAGGUAGAAUUCCACGUGUAGCGGUGAAAUGCGUAGAGAUGUGGAGGAAUACCGGUGGCGAAGGCGGCCUUCUGGACAGAUACUGACGCUGAGAUGCGAAAGCGUGGGGAGCAAACAGGAUUAGAUACCCUGGUAGUCCACGCUGUAAACGAUGUCGAUUUGGAGUUUGUUGCCUAGAGUGAUGGGCUCCGAAGCUAACGCGAUAAAUCGACCGCCUGGGGAGUACGGCCGCAAGGUUAAAACUCAAAUGAAUUGACGGGGGCCCGCACAAGCGGUGGAGCAUGUGGUUUAAUUCGAUGCAACGCGAAGAACCUUACCUGGUCUUGACAUCCACAGAAUCUUGUAGAGAUACGAGAGUGCCUUCGGGAACUGUGAGACAGGUGCUGCAUGGCUGUCGUCAGCUCGUGUUGUGAAAUGUUGGGUUAAGUCCCGCAACGAGCGCAACCCUUAUCCUUUGUUGCCAUCGAUUCGGUCGGGAACUCAAAGGAGACUGCCGUUG